Molecule: RNA transcript, 2724 nt
Organism: Chenopodium quinoa (quinoa)
Lineage: Eukaryota; Viridiplantae; Streptophyta; Magnoliopsida; Caryophyllales; Amaranthaceae
Exons: 2
Source: RefSeq, a predicted model, not a curated record
UACUACAUUUUUGACUAAAUGCAACAGCUAAUGACAGGCUAAUGCAACGCCAUUUGUAUUGCCGUUGCAAUAGAUUAGGCUAAUGCAACAAAUCUUUCUUUUUAACUUCACUAAGUAGAGCUAAUACAACGGCUGUUGAGAACCGUGGCGUUAGAUCAAUUAAUGUGAGGGGUAAAUGGCUACUGCAACGACACACCCAAAAAAAAAAUUAACGCCCUUAAAAUUCCCUCUAAUCUUUUUCCCAAAAUUUAGAACGCCUUAUACUCUGAUCCAGCCCUUAUACCCCUUUUUAUUACUAUUCCUUUUUUCUUUUCAGGUUCUUCCAAAAAAAAAAAAAAAAACCCCAGAAUUUCUCUCUGCCCCUCUCUCUCUCCUCAAAAUCUAUGGCAAUUCUAUACAAUCCUCAACAACCACCGUAGAAGAAUCGACUCUAAAACCGUAAUCUUCAACUCUCGAUCCUUUUAGUUUGCUAGGGUUUCUUCAAUCAGCCAUUGAUUUCGUCACCAAAGAGACGGAUUUUUUCGGCGAAACUCUGAGAAAGGAGGUUGUUUGUUCACUUGAGAAUGUGUGGGAGAUGCUUCAGGUAAAGGUAGAUGAGAAGGAGUACAUUUUUAUCGUAGUUGUUGCAUCUGCUUUAAAACCCAGAUCUUAAAACCACCAACAAUGGCGUCGGCUAAUCUAGAAAUGACGCAACCACCACCUGCACCACCACCGUGGUCAAACACCGACCUCUUUGGCGACCCAAUCUACGAUUUAACCCAGAUCUUCAAGAAUGACCUCUUUCUCCCUCCUGAUUUCGACUUCAAAGUUCGUACCCUUCGACACUCUUCUCCAAGAUUUCAUUUUCUAUUUCUUCUGCCGUCUACAUUCGUCGCAAUGGUAUUCCUCUCAAUCUCUCUAUUCUCAUUCAUCAAUGAUAAUCUAGUUUAGAUUAAUUUAUUGUGUAUGAAUCUGAUUUAUUUGACAUAUGUUUAGAUUGAUUUGUUUGAUUUUUUGUUGCUUGAAAUGUUAGUUUACAAUUUUGAGUUUAUUGUGAAAUUUGCAUUUUAAAAACUCCAAAUCAGUACUAUUUUAUGCGCUUUUUGUUUUUUUGAUCUGAUGAGUAGUCGAUUUUUUCAUUUUAAUGCUGAUUAUUAGCGUAGUUUGUUAGCUUUUGAGGUUGAUAUCAAUUGUUUUCUAGGGUUUAUGAAACAUCUGUUUGUAAUCUGUAAGAUUUGCUAGCUUUUGAGGUUCAUAUUAAUUGUUAUCUAGGGUUUAUGAAACAUCUAUUUGUAAUCUGUAAUCUUUGAUAGUGAUUUUAGUUUAGUAUAUAGGAAUUGUUGCCGGCACACUCAGAUUUAUCAAACAUUGGGCAUUGAAAGAUAACUUAUGCGUAUAAAAUAAAAUUGUGAAUUUGCUUCAUUUACUGGUAUAAGCAAUGAGUGAAUUGAAUGCUUGGAACUUUGUAUAGUGUCAAAAUUUGAGGGUGUUAAAGUUGCUUUUUUUUGUUUUAAUUUUGGUAUUUAUUGGUCUAGAAUGUGCGAUGAUUAUGCUUAGCUUUUGCUUAACAAAUUUUUGACUUAUACCUGUUUAUGUAAACAUGCCAAGAGAACCAAGAAGGUUGGUAUUGUCGAAAAAUACGACUUGCCUCUGAUUGUGGCCUCUAUGCACAAAAGAUUUAUGGUGGUGCCAAGACAGCUACCUGUAGAAGCUUGAAGAAAUGGGUUCUCCCACACGAGGGAACGAAUAAACUCAACUGCGAUGCCUCACUGAACGUUGAGGGGUGGGUGGGGCUUGGUGUUGUUGCAAGAGACUGGCAGGGGGAGGUGUUGUUCACUGCUUCCAGGCGCACCAGAGCUUACUAUCCCCCUGUUAUGGCAGAAAGCAAAGCUGCUGCUAUGGCAGUCAGAUUAGCCAAACGCUUUGGCUUGAAGGAUGUUAUUCUAGAAGCAAACUGUCAAGUCCUUAUCUCCAGAUUAUCAAAGGCCUCGGUUUACCUCACUGAUCUUGAUUCUAUUUUAGAUGAUAUAUUGUCUUCUUGUGUUGAUUUUAAUUCUGUUUUGUGGUUCCAUGUUGAGCGAGAUGGGAAUAAGGUUACCCAUAUCUUAGCUUGUUUUGCCUUACGAUUUUGAACAAGUUUGGGAGAACCUUUGUCCCAUUACGGGUAUUUUUUUUUAAAGGUAAUGAAUUAUGACCAUAAUAUGAUUGAUUUAGGUUGUUUAGUGCUGAUUAUGUUCAUAGAAAUCAUUCUAGAUGACUGCAUAUGAUAAUCUUUGUUUAGAACAGCUUUGUAUAUGAUUAGAGAUGGGUAAUUUGAAGUUCAAUACAUGUGGUAUCAGCCAUCAGGAUUUUAUUUUUGUUUGCUGUUAUGUUGGGUUAGUAGAUUGAAAGUGUAUGUAUGGGUGUAUCUGAUCAAUUGAUGCUUAUUGUUGCAUUGUUCAGGUACCCUUUAUGGUGCUAGUCUGCGUAAGCAGAUUAAGGAGAUGGAAGUAAGUCAGCACAACAAGUAAUUCUACAAGUUCUGAAUAUGGGGAAGAAAGGAGCAUAACCCCUAGCCUGGAAAGCAGAAUGCCUGAAUUGAUCGUAUCACAACAAGACUUAAUAAGACACGACACAAAUAUUUAAUUUUGAUACUUUUUUCAUAGUUUAAUUAGAGACAUAUUGUAUAAUUUUGUAAUUUUCCCUAAGGGUAACAAACUAACAAUGUACAAUUCUACAAUUUAUAUUAAUAAAGUUUGGAUUUGA